CGUAGACUCCUACGGGAGGCAGCAGUAGGGAAUAUUGGUCAAUGGGUGAGAGCCUGAACCAGCCAUGCCGCGUGCAGGAAGACGGCCUUCUGGGUUGUAAACUGCUUUUACCAGGGGAUAAAAAGAUCUUGCGAGAUUAAUUGAAGGUACCUGGAGAAUAAGCACCGGCUAACUACGUGCCAGCAGCCGCGGUAAUACGUAGGGUGCAAGCGUUGUCCGGAUUUAUUGGGUUUAAAGGGUGCGUAGGCGGGCUAUUAAGUCAGUGGUGAAAUCCAGCAGCUUAACUGUUGAUGUGCCAUUGAUACUGGUAGUCUUGAGUACAGAUGAGGUAGGCGGAAUUGACAGUGUAGCGGUGAAAUGCAUAGAUAUUGUCAAGAACUCCGAUAGCGAAGGCAGCUUACUGGGCUGUAACUGACGCUGAUGCACGAAAGUGUGGGGAUCAAACAGGAUUAGAUACCCUGGUAG
Molecule: ribosomal RNA, 465 nt
Filed under: uncultured bacterium
Lineage: Bacteria
Description: bacterial SSU rRNA
Rfam family: Bacterial small subunit ribosomal RNA
Source: RNAcentral